This 27-nucleotide unclassified non-coding RNA is filed under the name Mus musculus (house mouse). RNAcentral describes it as "oocyte_clustered_small_RNA7697". Lineage: Eukaryota; Metazoa; Chordata; Mammalia; Rodentia; Muridae. The record is from RNAcentral.
UAGCCAGCAAGAAUGACGCUGCAACAG